Molecule: long non-coding RNA, 716 nt
Organism: Haplochromis burtoni (Burton's mouthbrooder)
Lineage: Eukaryota; Metazoa; Chordata; Actinopteri; Cichliformes; Cichlidae
Exons: 2
Source: RefSeq, a predicted model, not a curated record
GGUUUCAAUCCAGAUUUUUCAUGUAUUUGCAUAUAUUAUAAUGCUGACCAAUGACUGGAGAAAACACUGACGACGCGGCUGCGGUCACGGACAAACUUGCACGUGUCUGUUCGGGAAUGGCAGAUGCUGAGAGGUCCAGCGUUUACAUUACCGACUAUUUCAAAGUGACAGCCUGAGGUGUUCUUCAGUAAAUUGGACUACCGGACAGGAGGACCUGAGGCCCCACCGCAUUAUUUUUGGUAAGUUAAAUGUGUUUGUAAGCUAAUCCGUAAUUUAGGUCCUUAGCUAGCUACCUAGCUCCAUCAUCUCAUCUUUGCAGAUGUCCAUUUAUAAAGUAUCAACAACUCAAAGGAGCUGUCCUCAGAUUCAGACCUCAGCACCACCCAGUGACAGCAGACAGAUCAUCCUAUAUCUUCAAUCUUUGUAGUAACUCCAAAAUUAACUGAAGAAAACAGUACAAAGGUUAAAGUACCACAUGUGCUGUCAGUGAAAGCUGCAGCUGUUUUAUUGAUAAAUUUAAAGACAAAAAGUCAAAAGGAUUAAUCACCCCUGUAACUGUGUCACUAUACAUCAGCAUUAACAGGACCUCAGUUUGGUGUUUCAGAAAACUGCUGAUCUCAGACCUGCACAACUUCUGUUUUAAACACUGAAUGUACUCAGCUACAUGAAGAGCACAUGAUGUUUUCUCUGACACAAUUAAAUAAAACCUGAUUAAA